UUUGAAAACCUUUGGAAUUCUCUCUUUGUAGUCAUUAUUCUAAGUUUUCAGAGAGAGAUAUCUUUUAAAAAAAAUCCGUAUCGCUGACUCCUCAGUGGGUUCUGUCCACCUAAAGAUGCCAUGUGCUUUCGUUGUAGAGUCUCUCUCUGAGUUUUUGCUAUUCUCUCUUUCUCAGACUCUUGUUCAGGUGGUGGCUCUCCUGACUGCUGCUGUCUGAACACCCUCAGGGAGUUUCCCACUCCAGAUUCUCCAGAAGAAAACUGAACUUGCCCAACCAGCUCGAGUGGAGACAAGUCAAAUGAGUCAUGAGCUGCCACCCAGUUUCCUUCAGCUUCACUCCAUUUGCUCAGCUCUGGGUCAUGGGACAGAGGGGUACUCCUGAGAGGCAUUUGGGGCCAGGCUUGUUUCAUUCAGACAGAGCUACUUGGAAAUAUUCUUUGCUGUCAAAUCUUUGGUCAAGUAAUAGAUUCUGGGCUAGAAUUUUUUUUUUUUUUUGCCAAGUAAGUUGUAAAAAUAUUUUAAAUAUGAUAUACCUAUACAUUUCUCUUUAGAUGAACAUUCCAGAUGGAUCAAAGAUUUAAGUGCAGAAAGCAAGAAAGAACAAGAGAGAAAAGCAUCAGUAUGCCAGAGGAAAACAUGGGUGAAUAUUUUAUAACCAUGGUGUUGGAAAGGUCUUAAUAUGACUUGAUAAUGCUAUCAGGGAGCAUAAAGGAAAAGAAUAAUAAAUUUAAAUGUAUAAACAUUAGAAACAUCUAUGUUGAAAAAAUUCAUUAAAAAUGUAGAAAAUGACUAUAGGAAAUUUUGCAUUUCUUGACAAGCAGUUAUAUCCUGAAGAUAUGAAGAAUGCUCAAUCAAUAAGGAAGAUUAUAUAGAGGAAUUGAUAAAGCAACGUAGCAGUUUCAUCAAACAGAAAAAUACAGAGACAGCACGAAUGCGAAAAGACAUUCAACUUCAUAAUAAUAAGAGAAAUGUAAUGGAAAGCAAAACAUGUUUUGUUGCUGAAGAUUAAAAUGUGUGAAGAAAAGGUCUUGUCAGAGAGGGAGACAGGCUCUGUGUUUAAUGUUGGUGGGAAUGGAUUUGAGGUAAGGAAUAAUAAAUCAAGUAUGAAAACACAUGCACAUAGAUGAUCAACUUGGUGGUAUCUGAAAAUGAGUGAGAAAAUGAAAAUGAUUCAGACUGAAAGGAGUUAAGCAUUGAAAGAGGAAAAGCUGGCACAUGCAAGAAAUGGAUUCCUGUGUAGUCAUUAGAAGUGAUGAUGUUAAUCCAUAUUUACUGGCAUGAAAAGACAUCUACCCUACAUGGUGAGUGAACAAAGCAGUUCAUAAGGUACAAGUUCAAAAUGAGCCUAUUAAUAUGUAACCUAGAUGAGUUUCCGUGAAAUUACGUGUCUCUAGAAUGUAAGUUCCAUGCAGACAGGGCCCACAUUUUCUUCACUGCUCUGCUCCUAGAGGCUAUGUCUGUGCCUGGUACUUUGCAGCCGUGCAGUAAUGUUUGUUGAAUGAAUGAAUGAAAGAGGUUUACAAGGUUCUUUGUGCUUAGGGGGCUCAGUCGCUCAGUCCUGUCUGACUCUUUACAAUCCAAUGGACUAUAGCCUGCCAGGCUCCUCUGUUCUUGAGAUUUCCCAGGCAAGAAUACUAGAGUGGGCUGCUAUCUCCUAGUUCAGGGGAUUUUCUCAGCUCAGGUAUCGAACCCAUGUCUCUUGUGUCUCCCACACUGGCAGGCAGAUUUUACCACUGCACCACCUGGGAAGCUCCAGAAGUUUAACAUGGAGGAGUGUUGGUGAUUUUUUUCUGUGCUCUCAGCAUUUUCUCUGUCAUCUGAGUUGCCUUCAAAAUAUUUAUUUUUUACCAAAAACAGACAGGAUAUUAAAAACAUAUGGUAAUGCC
Odocoileus virginianus texanus is the source of this 1886-nucleotide non-coding RNA. The record is from RefSeq and is a predicted model, not a curated record. Lineage: Eukaryota; Metazoa; Chordata; Mammalia; Artiodactyla; Cervidae.